Molecule: long non-coding RNA, 278 nt
Organism: Thalassophryne amazonica
Lineage: Eukaryota; Metazoa; Chordata; Actinopteri; Batrachoidiformes; Batrachoididae
Exons: 3
Source: RefSeq, a predicted model, not a curated record
CCCAUUAGGGGUCGCCACAGCAGAUGAAUUGUUUCCUUCUCACCUGUCUUCUGUAACUUCCUCUGAAUCACCUGCAUGUCCUGCCUCACCACAUCCAUAAUCCUGCUCUUUGGCCUCCCUCUUCUCCUCUUGCCUGGUGGCUCCAUCCUCAGCAUCCUUCUCCCAAUAUACUCUGGGUCCCUCCUCUGCACAUGUACGAACAUUUCAAUCUUGCCUCCCUUACUUUGUCUCCAAACCAUCCCAUCUGAACUGUCCCCCUGCUCAAGCCAGCACAUGUC